GAACGAAGAAGAAAGGAAGAAUGGAAAUGGAAGAAGAGGAGGAGCCAAGCCACAAUAUUUAGUGUUGUAUAAUUUCAUGGUAUGAUGGACGCAGCUGAGGUGGGCCUCCGCUGUGGCCAGGCAGUUCAGCCUUGCCGUCAACCCUCUAUGUGAUGAGUGAGUUGCCGGUUGAGCUGGAGUGUCCUGGUAUUGGAGGCUCGUCAGGUACUGUAGACAACCAUCUGUGUAACCUUUUCGUGAAGAGGUCCGGUGUGACCCGUCAGGUUCCUGGUGGUGUCCGGCACAGCGUUGAAGAGGUCCGCAGAAAACGACACGCCAAUUUAUUUGAAGUCAAGGACGGAGAUUAAAACGGCCUUGAAAACACCACACCG
RNAcentral lists this long non-coding RNA (371 nucleotides) under Portunus trituberculatus (swimming crab). RNAcentral's name for it is "uncharacterized LOC123517305". Lineage: Eukaryota; Metazoa; Arthropoda; Malacostraca; Decapoda; Portunidae. The record is from RNAcentral.